RNAcentral lists this ribosomal RNA (549 nucleotides) under uncultured bacterium. Its description in RNAcentral is "bacterial SSU rRNA". It matches the Rfam family "Bacterial small subunit ribosomal RNA", at positions 338 to 896 of the family's 1533-position model. The record is from RNAcentral.
CCUACGGGAGGCAGCAGUGGGGAAUAUUGCACAAUGGGGCGAAAGCCUGAUGCAGCAACGCCGCGUGAGGGAUGACGGCCUUCGGGUUGUAAACCUCUUUUAGUAGGGAAGAAGCGAAAGUGACGGUACCUGCAGAAAAAGCACCGGCUAACUACGUGCCAGCAGCCGCGGUAAUACGUAGGGUGCAAGCGUUGUCCGGAAAUAUUGGGCGUAAAGAGCUCGUAGGCGGUUUGUCGCGUCUGCUGUGAAAUCUGGGGGCUCAACCCCCAGCCUGCAGUGGGUACGGGCAGACUAGAGUGCGGUAGGGGAGAUUGGAAUUCCUGGUGUAGCGGUGGAAUGCGCAGAUAUCAGGAGGAACACCGAUGGCGAAGGCAGAUCUCUGGGCCGUAACUGACGCUGAGGAGCGAAAGCAUGGGGAGCGAACAGGAUUAGAUACCCUGGUAGUCCAUGCCGUAAACGUUGGGAACUAGAUGUGGGGGCCAUUCCACGGUCUCCGUGUCGCAGCUAACGCAUUAAGUUCCCCGCCUGGGGAGUACGGCCGCAAGGCUA